UCUUCUGCGCCUGCUUCGAUCGGCUGGCGAUCACAUCCACGGAAGGGGCAUUGUAGCCGAUAAGGGGGGAGGUGGUGUAUGGAUGAUGGUCCUCUAUCGGCCGGCCACUCCGCUGCGUGUUGGGGGAACGCGGUUUUCAGACUGAACCAACAGCAAGAUGUUAGUGUACGCAUUUAACCACAUUAAUAAAGGAAUGAAAAUCGGCUAGGGAAAAAUACCUCGGCAUUUGGAUCGAUGUUGGCCGGAUCCAGGAGAUUGCAGUAUGUCGAUGCGGAAGUGCAGAACAGAUACUAUUUCCAUUCGGCCCACCAUAGCUUAAAUGGUUGGACAGCAAAGGGGGCUACUAUCCAGUCAUUC
Molecule: long non-coding RNA, 357 nt
Filed under: Setaria viridis
Lineage: Eukaryota; Viridiplantae; Streptophyta; Magnoliopsida; Poales; Poaceae
Description: long non-coding RNA (SVIR_LNC007684)
Source: RNAcentral